UACGAAGGGUGCAAGCGUUACUCGGAAUUACUGGGCGUAAAGCGUGCGUAGGUGGUUUGUUAAGUCUGUCGUGAAAGCCCUGGGCUCAACCUGGGAACUGCGAUGGAAACUGGCUAACUAGAAUGUGGUAGAGGGUAGCGGAAUUCCUGGUGUAGCAGUGAAAUGCGUAGAUAUCAGGAGGAACACCGAUGGCGAAGGCAACCCCCUGGGCCUGUACUGACGCUCAUGCACGAAAGCGUGGGGAGCAAACAGG
Molecule: ribosomal RNA, 253 nt
Filed under: uncultured Pseudomonadota bacterium
Lineage: Bacteria; Pseudomonadati; Pseudomonadota
Description: uncultured proteobacterium partial 16S ribosomal RNA
Rfam family: Bacterial small subunit ribosomal RNA
Source: RNAcentral